RNAcentral lists this unclassified non-coding RNA (378 nucleotides) under plant metagenome. Its description in RNAcentral is "partial contains 5.8S ribosomal RNA, internal transcribed spacer 2, and large subunit ribosomal RNA". The stretch from base 1 to 105 matches the Rfam family "5.8S ribosomal RNA", at positions 50 to 154 of the family's 154-position model. The record is from RNAcentral.
GAAAUGCGAUAAGUAAUGUGAAUUGCAGAAUUCAGUGAAUCAUCGAAUCUUUGAACGCACCUUGCGCUCCUUGGUAUUCCUUGGUGCAUGCCUGUUUGAGUAUCAUGAAAUCUUCAAAGUAAAUCUUUUGUUAACUCAAUUGGUUUCUACUUUGGUAUUGGAGGUCUUUGCAGCUUCACACCUGCUCCUCUUUGUUCGUUAGCUGGAUCUCAGUGUUAUGCUUGGUUCCACUCGGCGUGAUAAGUUAUCUAUCGCUGAGGACACUGUAAAAGGUGGCCAAGGUAAAUGCAGAUGAACCGCUUCUAAUAGUCCAUUGACUUGGACAAUACUUUUAUGAUCUGAUCUCAAAUCAGGUAGGACUACCCGCUGAACUUAAGC